GUGUACCCGCGGCAAGACGGAAAGACCCCGUGAACCUUUACUAUAGCUUGACACUGAACAUUGAGCCUUGAUGUGUAGGAUAGGUGGGAGGCUUUGAAGUGUGGACGCCAGUCUGCAUGGAGCCGGCCUUGAAAUACCACCCUUUAAUGUUUGAUGUUCUAACGUGGACCCGUAAUCCGGGUUGCGGACAGUGUCUGGUGGGUAGUUUGACUGGGGCGGUCUCCUCCUAAAGAGUAACGGAGGAGCACGAAGGUUGGCUAAUCCUGGUCGGACAUCAGGAGGUUAGUGCAAUGGCAUAAGCCAGCUUGACUGCGAGCGUGACGGCGCGAGCAGGUGCGAAAGCAGGUCAUAGUGAUCCGGUGGUUCUGAAUGGAAGGGCCAUCGCUCAACGGAUAAAAGGUACUCCGGGGAUAACAGGCUGAUACCGCCCAAGAGUUCAUAUCGACGGCGGUGUUUGGCACCUCGAUGUCGGCUCAUCACAUCCUGGGGCUGAAGUAGGUCCCAAGGGUAUGGCUGUUCGCCAUUUAAAGUGGUACGCGAGCUGGGUUUAGAACGUCGUGAGACAGUUCGGUCCCUAUCUGCCGUGGGCGCUGGAGAACUGAGGGGGGCUGCUCCUAGUACGAGAGGACCGGAGUGGACGCAUCACUGGUGUUCGGGUUGUCAUGCCAAUGGCACUGCCCGGUAGCUAAAUGCGGAAGAGAUAAGUGCUGAAAGCAUCUAAGCACGAAACUUGCCCCGAGAUGAGUUCUCCCUGAGACUUAGAGUCUCCUGAAGGAACGUUGAAGACGACGACGUUGAUAGGCCGGGUGUGUAAGCGCAGCGAUGCGUUGAGCUAACCGGUACUAAUGAACCGUGAGGCUUAACCUUACAACGCCGAAG
This 879-nucleotide ribosomal RNA is filed under the name Salmonella enterica. RNAcentral's name for it is "partial 23S ribosomal RNA". It matches the Rfam family "Bacterial large subunit ribosomal RNA", at positions 2064 to 2925 of the family's 2925-position model. Lineage: Bacteria; Pseudomonadati; Pseudomonadota; Gammaproteobacteria; Enterobacterales; Enterobacteriaceae. The record is from RNAcentral.